GGCCUUAUAGUCUAAAUUAAGAUCCUAGACUGCAAUUCUAGAGAUGUGGCAACACUAAGGCUU
RNAcentral lists this transfer RNA (63 nucleotides) under Heptagenia sulphurea. RNAcentral describes it as "tRNA-Cys". It matches the Rfam family "tRNA". Rfam says of the family: Transfer RNA (tRNA) molecules are approximately 80 nucleotides in length. Their secondary structure includes four short double-helical elements and three loops (D, anti-codon, and T loops). The record is from RNAcentral. Lineage: Eukaryota; Metazoa; Arthropoda; Insecta; Ephemeroptera; Heptageniidae.